RNAcentral lists this ribosomal RNA (496 nucleotides) under uncultured bacterium. Its description in RNAcentral is "partial 16S ribosomal RNA". It matches the Rfam family "Bacterial small subunit ribosomal RNA", at positions 27 to 507 of the family's 1533-position model. The record is from RNAcentral.
GGACGAACGCUGGCGGCGUGCCUAAUACAUGCAAGUAGAACGCUGAAGGAGGAGCUUGCUCUUCUGGAUGAGUUGCGAACGGGUGAGUAACGCGUAGGUAACCUGCCUGGUAGCGGGGGAUAACUAUUGGAAACGAUAGCUAAUACCGCAUAAGAGUAGAUGUUGCAUGACAUUUACUUAAAAGGUGCAAUUGCAUCACUACCAGAUGGACCUGCGUUGUAUUAGCUAGUUGGUGGGGUAACGGCUUACCAAGGCGACGAUACAUAGCCGACCUGAGAGGGUGAUCGGCCACACUGGGACUGAGACACGGCCCAGACUCCUACGGGAGGCAGCAGUAGGGAAUCUUCGGCAAUGGACGGAAGUCUGACCGCGCAACGCCGCGUGAGUGAAGAAGGUUUUCGGAUCGUAAAGCUCUGUUGUAAGAGAAGAACGAGUGUGAGAGUGGAAAGUUCACACUGUGACGGUAUCUUACCAGAAAGGGACGGCUAACUACGUG